This is a non-coding RNA of Paramuricea clavata, 1008 nucleotides long. Lineage: Eukaryota; Metazoa; Cnidaria; Anthozoa; Malacalcyonacea; Plexauridae. The record is from the annotation of a GenBank genome assembly.
CAAGAACGUUCUAAAUUUGCUCAAGAUAUUCUUUCAAUGUUUUUCAAGUUUUAAAACCAUAAUUUUCCGGUAAGUGUAGAGAGUUGGUUAUUACCUGGUAAAAUAUGUACGUAUUGCUUUAUUUUAGUCAAGAAAAGAGAAAUAUUUUGCUGUUAAAAACUCUUAUCUAUUGUAUGGUGAUCGUGUGAUGAGGUCAGCAAAAAUUGAAGCAUGCUAUAUUUUUGGUUUAUUAUAUUAGAUUUAUGUCAGAUUUCGCAAAUAUUUUUGUCAGAUGUUGUGCUUGUUUUAAUAUUGAUAAUAUAGUGGCCUGCAGAGGUGGCCUGGAGAUUAUCAAAAACGGAAAAGCGUGUCAAAUUUAAUAUUCUGUUUCGCCAAUUUCGUCUUGUCAAGUGCAUAAUUUCAUGAUGUCAGAAAUUGUACUUCGGUACUUCAUCAAAACACUCCAUCAAAGAAACAUAAUUGCAUAAUUUGAUUUAUAGACGAGAGUUUAAUACAUAUUCAAGUGAUAUUCUAUUUUCCAAAACAAAUUUAUGAGAAUAUUUGUGGCGAGUAAUUUCUUGAUUAGACCACAUUAUUUUACAAAACAUGGCGGCUUGCCAAUGACGCGUGCGGACGUUUGGUAAAUAAUGUUGACAUUUUGUCUACUCGACUUUAUUUGUCACAACUAAAGUCCAGAAGGGCAUUUAAACAGAGGGCAGCUUUGCUCUUGUUGACCCAUAAAAAUGAGCAUAUAAUGAGGAGUAGAAUAUUUGAUUAUUGUGGGUUGAUCAUGGCAAACUGUCUCCAGAUGUCAGCUCUAAUUUAUUUAUGUUGAACAACUGUUAACAUGAUGAGGCAAAUCCUUUAACAAGUUGUUUGUUUUUGUUAUCUCAGCAGAUAUGGCAAGGCUUCCAAUACUAAUACUCAUUGUUUUAACAAUCUUUCUUUUAAUUGGGGUAAGUACUGGCCAUUUCCUGUCUUUUUUAACUCAUUAAAUAUCUAUAAACACCAGACUAGAUGGAUUUUCAG